This is a long non-coding RNA of Sinocyclocheilus anshuiensis, 2737 nucleotides long. RefSeq lists it as uncharacterized. The transcript has 4 exons. The record is from RefSeq and is a predicted model, not a curated record. NCBI's taxonomy places the organism in Eukaryota, Metazoa, Chordata, Actinopteri, Cypriniformes, Cyprinidae.
UGCCUUCAGCGUCGACGGUCCAGAGGUCUCUUAAUAUACGAGCGUGUGCUGUUUAAUGAAAGCCGUGUGCGAUGCCUCCCAUGCUGUGAUUGCUCAGCAGGACUCCAGGGCUUACCUAUCAUGCUCCAAAGCCUGUUGUUCUUGGGAAAUCAAUAUCUGAAAGGUGCAAGGAUUUUACCCAGAGCUUCAUGCAUCGCUGGCUACUCAUUCAGCAUGUGUUUGACCAGAUUCAAUUGGAAGCACAUGGUUGCUGAGAAAUGAGCUGGGAGAAGUGACUCCUUUAACCUCUAAAGUUUCUGAAAGGAAGAAAAAGCAGGAAAGUUGGAUCUGGUUGGCAUGAGGAGAUAGCGUGUGUGUGGGAUUGGUGUGGUGGGUGAAAUUGGGGAGGUGUUGGUCAGUCAAGUGGGAAAAGGCCUCAGUUUUUCAUUUCAUCAAAUAAUAAAACCCCCAAGCCCUUGUGGCCUUUAUCUGUGCUGUGAUCUAAGCACAUAUAAGGCUGAAACUCAAUGCUGAGAAAGCAGCUGAAGGAAGUGAUGAUUACUACAGAAAGUCCAGGCAAAGUAAUGAGAAAGUAGCGCAGGAUAACAUCAAAACCAAUUAAGUCCAUCCAGGUUCAAUUCAACCUUGAACAUUUUCAACCUGGUUUCUUCCAUCUAUUUUGAAUCCUGUCUAAAUGUACUGAUUAAUCUGCUUUAAAAUACAGGGAAUAAUUCGCAGAGAAUGAAGUGUGCCCGUUGAUAGUUUAUUUGUAUGCUGUGCAUUGUUUUAGUGCCCAAUUCACUAAAGGAAUUAUGCAAAUCUAGGCAACAAAGCAAACAUGCUUCCAAAAAUGUGUAUUUUUAAUUACUGUUGCACAGCUGUGGAGAAUGCAGCAGACUAUUACAAUCUGGCAUACUUUACUGGAACUGUAGCACCCUUCCACCACUUUCACCACUAAAAUUUGUGUUUUCAAGGCACUUAUAGGCGUAUGCCUGAUUAUUGCACUCUUCUCCAUCAUUUGAUCUUUAUUUGAUGAAUUACUGCUGCCAUAAAAUGCAAAUAAACAUCUCUUUUUAAGAAAAUUCUGUUUACCUCCUGCUGUCUGUGGGUGGUAAUAGUGCUGCGUUUUGUAAAUAAGCCACAAUCUAUAAAUAAUAAACCUAAUUUACAUAAAAAGACUUCCACUGAUUUUACCGCCGAUACUGUCUGGUUAAACUAGAUAGCGUAAAUUCGCCCCACGCUGUUUAGUCUCAUCUGAUUCUGAAUGCUAUCUUACAAACCCAGGACUUGCGAUGUUAUGGCGAUAACUAAUGUGGAUUUUUGUCAGUUAUAUGAGCUGGAGGAUGACUCAAAGUGAGCAUGUGAUAAAGAGAUGCUCUGACAAAUGCGUGACACACAUGCAGUGGAUUCAUACCAAGUUAUGCUCUAUUUUCAGUAAAUGACACCUUUAAUUGAUGCAGCGACUGGGGACUCAUGUACCGCAAAGUCAGAUGGGUGUGAAAAUACAGAGGGACUGAGAAAGAGGGAGAAGUAUUGCUAAUGCUUUCUCUAAGCAUGAAAAAUGAGACCGAGUCUGUCUCAACCAUAUUAUCCCUCUCCCAAAGUGCUUUGCAGACAGCCAUUCAUCUUUUUGCAUCACACCCCCUUUAUCUGUCACUCCAGUCUCAUCUCUACACCUCUCAUCCUGCUUCACUAUCCUUCUCCACCUGAAUAUAAUUUGCUGAAACUUUACCAAAGCAACUCAGGGCUUGUAACUCAUCUUCAUUGGCUCAGACCGCCUGACACUGACCGUCAUGUCACACAUCUCCAUUGUCUGAUCAUCACCGUUACCCUCAGCUUCAUAAUAGCUCUGGCAGACCUGUUACAGAUGUAGUGUUUAAUGACAAACAGUAAUCAGGAGGAAUUUGGUGAUGCAUUUAAUCUGUGGUUUUACAGCUUUGUCCAUGGAUGAUUUUAUCCCCUGAGGCAGAUUCUUAUGAGCUCACUUACUCAGCCUGACAGAAAGGGAUGUUGGAACAGCAUGAUGAAAAAAGCACCGCACUGGGAAAGAGGGGGAGAAAAAAAUCACAAUUCGGCUUUGUAUCUAAACGACAAUCACUGGGCAAACUUUUCUUUGAUGGCAACUCAUUACGUUUUCACGUUUAAGUUCAAUGAAUGAAUAAAAAUGAACAUUAGAAUGUAGAUAAACUAACUUUUCUGUAUAAUUAAAAUGUUAGUUUUAACAAGUAAUGGCAUGCGGUUGGUAUGAAAAUCAUUAACAGCCUGUCCAGCUCUAUUGUACCUCUAAAGUUGUUUUACCUCAGAAAAAAAUGCCAAUGAGAAGUAUAUUGUAGGUGUUAUUUAUGCAGCUCUGUUUAUGGGAUUCUCUGUGUCCUAGUCAUCAUUGAAUUUUUUUAUGUUUUUGGUGGCCAUUUGCGGAUGCUUGUGUGUGACUGUGUACAUUAUUUGUAAGAAAUGGAGGGUAUAUUGGAAAAUAUUCCUCUGUUAUUUUGUUUCUCAAUUCCUCACCACUCUUAUCUGAAUUUUUGGCAGGCAAGAGCUCUGCAAGUGACUCCUGUUCACAUCCGUCAAGUGGUAUUUGGACAACACCCAUCCAGGAGAGCAAGAUUGUUUGUAUAAAUCUGCCCCUAAAUGGCAUGUAAAAACAAUGUUUUGCAUUGGCCAGCUGCAAGGAGGACCAGAAUGUGUGCUGUUGACCAAAGGUUUGGCUUCACAAUGCUGAUUGAAUGGUAACAUCUGGAAGUGAGGCAACAUCAAA